This is a long non-coding RNA of Nothoprocta perdicaria, 86 nucleotides long. RefSeq lists it as uncharacterized. The transcript has 2 exons. The record is from RefSeq and is a predicted model, not a curated record. Lineage: Eukaryota; Metazoa; Chordata; Aves; Tinamiformes; Tinamidae.
ACAUUUCAGCGUGGGAUUCUGAGAUCUCAAUGAGACAGCUUGGACCAGGUUCCAAAAAUGACUAACAAGUGCCAAGCAAAUGUGGU